GAUGAACGCUGGCGGCGUGCCUAAUACAUGCAAGUCGAGCGAACAGACGCGGAGCUUGCUCCUCUGACGUUAGCGGCGGACGGGUGAGUAACACGUGGAUAACCUACCUAUAAGACUGGUAUAACUUCGGGAAACCGGAGCUAAUACCGGAUAAUAUAUUGAACCGCAUGGUUCAAUAGUGAAAGACGGUUUUGCUGUCACUUCUAGAUGGAUCCGCGCCGCAUUAGCUAGUUGGUAAGGUAACGGCUUACCAAGGCAACGAUGCGUAGCCGACCUGGGAGGGUGAUCGGCCACACUAGAACUGGGACACGGUCCAGACUCCUACGAGAGGCAGCAGUAGGGAAUGUUCCGCAAUGGGCGAAAGCAUGACGGAGCAACGCCGAGUGAGUGAUGAAGGUCUUCGGAUCGUAAAACUCUGUUAUUAGGGAAGAACAAAUGUGUAAGUAACUAUGCACGUCUUGACGGUACCUAAUCAGAAAGCCACGGCUAACUACGUG
This 497-nucleotide ribosomal RNA is filed under the name uncultured bacterium. Its description in RNAcentral is "partial 16S ribosomal RNA". It matches the Rfam family "Bacterial small subunit ribosomal RNA", at positions 28 to 507 of the family's 1533-position model. The record is from RNAcentral.